Molecule: ribosomal RNA, 497 nt
Filed under: uncultured bacterium
Lineage: Bacteria
Description: partial 16S ribosomal RNA
Rfam family: Bacterial small subunit ribosomal RNA
Source: RNAcentral
GAUGAACGCUGGCGGCGUGCCUAAUACAUGCAAGUCGAGCGAACAGAUGAGGAGCUUGCUCCUCUGACGUUAGCGGCGGACGGGUGAGUAACACGUGGAUAACCUACCUAUAAGACUGGGAUAACUUCGGGAAACCGGAGCUAAUACCGGAUAAUAUAUUGAACCGCAUGGUUCAAUAGUGAAAGACGGUUUUGCUGUCACUUAUAGAUGGAUCCGCGCCGCAUUAGCUAGUUGGUAAGGUAACGGCUUACCAAGGCAACGAUGCGUAGCCGACCUGAGAGGGUGAUCGGCCACACUGGAACUGAGACACGGUCCAGACUCCUACGGGAGGCAGCAGUAGGGAAUCUUCCGUAAUGGGCGAAAGCCUGACGGAGCAACGCCGCGUGAGUGAUGAAGGUCUUCGGAUCGUAAAACUCUGUUAUUAGGGAAGAACAAAUGUGUAAGUAACUAUGCACGUCUUGACGGUACCUAAUCAGAAAGCCACGGCUAACUACGUG